ACGGAGGGUGCAAGCGUUGCUCGGAAUCACUGGGCGUAAAGCGUCCGCAGGCGGGCGCGUAAGUUGGGUGUGAAAGCCCGGGGCUCAACCCCGGAACUGCACUCAAAACUGCGUGCCUUGAGUACGGGAGAGGGAGGCGGAAUUCCUGGUGUAGAGGUGAAAUUCGUAGAUAUCAGGAGGAACACCUGUGGCGAAAGCGGCUUCCUGGCCCGAUACUGACGCUCAUGGACGAAAGCGUGGGGAGCAAACAGG
This 252-nucleotide ribosomal RNA is filed under the name uncultured bacterium. RNAcentral describes it as "partial 16S ribosomal RNA". It matches the Rfam family "Bacterial small subunit ribosomal RNA", at positions 525 to 776 of the family's 1533-position model. The record is from RNAcentral.